Passer domesticus (house sparrow) is the source of this 2594-nucleotide long non-coding RNA. RefSeq lists it as uncharacterized. The record is from RefSeq and is a predicted model, not a curated record. NCBI's taxonomy places the organism in Eukaryota, Metazoa, Chordata, Aves, Passeriformes, Passeridae. The transcript has 2 exons.
CUCACCACGAGGGAUCUGUCUCCUCUUUUCAACUUGUUAAAGGGGGGAGAGGAGCUGGAUUCCCCGAGGGCCCUGACCCAGGAGGCCAAGUCAGCCCUUGAGAAGGUUCAACAUGCCAUCUCAACACGACAAGCCCACCGAUGUCGUGAGAACCUCCCCUUCAAGUUCAUCAUCUUGAGUAAGUUGCCGCACCUCCAUGGGCUCAUUUUCCAAUGGGACAGGAGCCAACGGGAUCCCCUCUUGAUAAUAGAGUGGGUAUUCCUUGGUCAUCAAUUGUCCAAGAGUAUUACAAAGCCACAAGAGUUGAUGGCCCAGUUGAUCAUGCGGGCCAGAGCACGCCUGCGAACGCUCGCAGGGUGUGACUUCACAUGCAUCCAUCUUCCCAUCAGGACAUCCACGGGGAAGAUGACGAAAGAGACUGUUGAGCACCUCCUUAGAGAGAAUGAAAACCUGCAGUUUGCCUUGGACAGUUACACCGGGCAAAUUUCCGUGAACCAUCCUGGCCACAAAUUAUUUAUCACAGAAUUCAAUUUGAUCCCAAAAGAAAUACAAAGUCGACGUCCCCUCAAAGCUCUGACCAUUUUUACCGACGCGUCCGGAGGGUCCCACAAGUCAGUAGUGACUUGGAAAGAUCCUCAAGCCCUGCGGUGGGAAACCGAUGUUAAGGCUGUGGAAGGUUCUCCACAGAUUGCAGAACUGGAUGCAGUCGUCAGAGCUUUCGAAAGAUUCCCACAACCCUUUAAUCUAAUAACCGAUUCGGCGUAUGUAGCAGGUGUAGUGUCCAGGGCAGAAAAUGCUGUGCUCAAAGAAGUCUCCAAUCCCAUCCUGUUUCGCUUGCUUUCGAAGUUAAUACAUUUGGUUUCCCACCGAGAGCAACCGUUUUUCGUUAUGCAUGUGAGGUCGCACACCGAUCUCCCUGGCUUUAUUGCCGAAGGCAAUCGCAGAGCGGACGCACUGGCCGCACCCUUACAACUGGCUGGCCAACCUGACAUCUUCCAGCAGGCCAAAUUAAGCCAUCAACAAUUCCACCAGAAUGCCCCAGGCUUGGUUCGCCAGUUCAACCUUCGGCGUGACCAAGCCAGAGCAAUUGUGGCCACAUGCCCAAACUGCCAGAAAGCAGCACUACCAUCGCUAGCCUCUGGGGUAAACCCCAGAGGUCUCCGCAGUUGCGAGGUGUGGCAAACUGAUGUUACACACAUACCCGAGUUCGGGAGGUUCAGGUAUGUCCACGUCACAGUGGAUACCUUCUCGGGAGCCGUCUUCGCCUCGGCCCACACGGGAGAAAAAGCAGCUGAUGCACAAAAACAUCUUAUCCAUGCGUUUGCGGUCCUGGGAAUUCCAUCUUCCAUUAAAACCGACAACGGCCCAGCCUAUACCUCCAAGGCGUUCGGCAUCCACCAUGGUCCCCAUUGCCAUCAUCGUCACCUGGCAACUUCUUCUUCAAGCCUUGGACCAGUCCCUGGUAACCGCGUGGAUUGUCCCACAGCCCCGCAAGAACGUGUGGGUAACCCUGGCCCAUGCCCUCAAUCAGAACCAUCUUUGUCUAUCUACGUCAGCAGCAGACAACCCUAUGUCGACAUGUCUGGUGAGGAUUCCUUCCAAACUGAUGGAUUUUCCCAGCUCCCUUUUAAACAUCCAAGGCCAACUGAAUGAGAAUAAUCCGCCAGGUCAGUGGGUGGAGAUUUUUCGGUACUGGGGGGUAGUAAAUUAUGCAAAAACACCCGUAACCAACCCCCUAGAACUGUGGCGCAAGUGGGUAUUUGACCUGCCCUACGCCGAGGCCGAGCCCCAGGAAUUCGAGCUACUGGGCUCGGCCAAAGCAGACCUCUGUGUGCACUUCGAUUUUACACCAUCGUCUCGAGUUAAGUCCUACGAGAAUGUCAAGCAGCACAAGCUAGAAUUCCAGCAGCUGCAUGGUGCACACAGGUGGACAAGAUAAGCGCCCCAUCCACUGACGAUGGGUACCCCAGAAAAUUAGAUAAAGGUGUCUUCUUGAUCUGUGGAGACAGGGCGUACCCAGGAAUCCCGUCUCGUCUCCUAGGAGGCCCGUGCACCCUGGGGCGACUGUCACUGGCGUCACCCAACAUGACGCAAAUUCCGAUUCGGCACACCAAAAAGAAUAUAAAAAUUGUAAAAAGGGGUGCAAAACAAUUUGACGAGCAUUGUGAUAGUGAAAUUUAUCAUUGGGCCAAAUCCAAGAGGAUCGCCGUCUCCGUCUUUUUACCCUGGGUAGCGGCGGCCAAGUCUCUUAGUGAACUUGGCAACCUCGAAUGUUGGGUAACACGCCAAGCGAAUUUGACCUCGCAGGCCCUAAGUGACCUCCUAGCAGACGAGGAGAUCACCAGACGCGCGACCCUGCAGAACAGGGCCGCCAUCGACUUUCUGCUGCUGGCACACGGGCAUGGUUGCCAAGAGUUCGAGGGGCUGUGCUGCUUUAAUUUAACAUCUCGAAGCAAAUCAGUCCACGCGUCGAUCCAGGAAAUGAGAGACCUCGUCGGUACCGUCAAGCAAGAGAACGAGGACUGGUUCAAGGACUUGUUCAGGAACUGGGGACUUUCAGGUUGGAUGCUCUCCCUUAUAAAAGACAUCAGUUA